Molecule: long non-coding RNA, 1018 nt
Organism: Hippocampus zosterae (dwarf seahorse)
Lineage: Eukaryota; Metazoa; Chordata; Actinopteri; Syngnathiformes; Syngnathidae
Exons: 5
Source: RefSeq, a predicted model, not a curated record
AAAGCUUACUUUGUGGUCAUCUGCUGCCCCCUCUUGGUGAGGACUGUGUAUCACUGUUGCAAGAAGUGAACCUAAAUAUCGUGAACCGACAGCCGUACUCGUCGUACUCGCUCAAGACGAGACGGUUUGGGCUUCGCGGGCGUGUUUUGAGUCUGUGGCUCAUCUGGUUCUCCUCCUUGAGGACGUGUGGACCCUGCUCCCCCCAGGCGCGGGGUUCUGCGGACCGUUGGUGCCGGUCCUGCCCGAAACCUUCAUCCUCGGACGCGGAGAAGCCCGGAUGUUCUAAAGGACGUGACGUCACAAUGGCUCGACGGGAACUGCGAGGUGGGAUCAGCAGGUUACAACAGAGACUGCAAGAGUCACAGAAAGACCAUUCUCAAAAAGUUCAGCACAGAUAACAGCACCCCCGCCAUCCUCCAAAAAAAUGCAAGCGUGGAAAGAAACAAAGCAUCGCUUACCGUACCCCGGACUCCCCCCCCCCCCCAAAAAAAAAACAUGAAUGGCAGGUUAUGGCUGUUGAUGUGUGCCAUGCAAUUAUCUGGCAACCGGUUCAGGGCGUUUGCCUCCUGCUGCCCGAAAGACGGACGGGAUCGGCUCCCUCGCGGGGUGCCUUUGAGGUAAAGAGAUGAAAACAUUGCUCAAGUUGCCCGUGAAUAGGCCGCGCCGCAGGAGUGGACGCAGGAAGCCGCUGACCUUCAUGACUGCGUGACGCCUACGCCGUCACAAAAGAAAUUAAAGUCAUAAGUCAAGGCCCCCCCAACCCCCCUGUAUUUUAUUUGUAUUCAUUUGGUGGAAUGGCUCACCGGAGUACGUUCCAAUAUGCAGUGGAGCCUUUUCAUCCCGUAAGAAGCCCCGUGAGUCAUAAAGCUUCCCGCGUAUUGAUUAGCUAAUGUGGAUUCCGGCUGCACCGUCAUGUCAACGUGCAUUGUGUUUCUUUGUACCGACUAAGCUCUUCCGACUGCUAAAUUCAAGUACAGUACAUCCUUUUUUUGUCACUGUUUUUAAAUGGUUUGUAUGC